Molecule: long non-coding RNA, 2775 nt
Organism: Papaver somniferum (opium poppy)
Lineage: Eukaryota; Viridiplantae; Streptophyta; Magnoliopsida; Ranunculales; Papaveraceae
Exons: 9
Source: RefSeq, a predicted model, not a curated record
UCAUCUAACACUCUCUCUCUCCCUUUCUAGCUCUCACAAAAACCCCACAGUAGAGAAAAAAAUCACACAAUGAAUCACACCAUGAAAUUUCUUCUGUGAAAUCCGCCAUCAUCAGAACCUUUUUCACUGAAAACCCACCACCAUUAAAAUAUUUUAUCUGAGAUUCUUAAAAAAAAUCUUAAAACCAACCUCCAAUAAACCUCAAAUAGAAAUCAGAUUUACUGUUGUUCAACCAAUUUCGUGUUUGAAAGAAACCCAAUUUCUUUUGUUGUGCAACCACUUCAGUUUCGAUCUUGAUUUUGUCUACAGUUUGGGUGCUGCUGAAAAGGUAUUCGUUUCGAAACCCCAGAUCUAUUUGUUCUUCAUAGAACAAGGAUUCACUAUUAAGGUUAUUCCCCAUCUCUACAACGAAAAGGGUGGACUUUUACUCAAUCUCUUCUUAGUUUUUCUUUUAUCGCUCUUUCAAUUCAACUGCGGGAUUUUAAUUUUAGGGAUUUUUGGUUUCAGGGUCACUAUGAAGAGAAGAGCUGAUGUGGACAGGGGCGGAAGCACAGCAAGACUUCCCCUGCAUUCUCGAAGUGUUUAGUCUUUGCCAAUUCUGUGUAAAUUAGGAUCCUGCACUUUAGUUGUUUGUGGAAAUGCCCACGAGAGGAGAACUUGCAUAAUUGUAUUGCCUGCCAGGGUGGGGGUUCUUGCGCGAUCAAUAAUUGGUAGAGAAUACAAGGAAUACUUUAGUGGAAAUCAUAAUACUGGUAUCCAUCAAAGAAGUGCAUUAAGGAAUCGCUGCCCCAUAUUUGUUGGAAACAGCAGUCGUCGUUAAAGAGAAUAAGAGUGCCGAAAAAGAACAUGAUGUACAGUUUUGCUAUUAGGACUUUCCGAUGUUCUUUUAAGAGGUAAUCUUUUCUGUUUGCUGGUGCGCAAUAUUUUUUUCCAACCCCCUCUAGUCUUGAAUCCUGGUUCCCCCACUUGCAGUGGAUGCUUGGGUGGUGGUUGUGAGUGGUGAAGACAGUUGCAGUAUAUGAAAAUCUAGAGUGGUUGAAAUUGUACAGCCUUAUUUUUUCAUGUAUUGCAACGGUAGUACUUGUUAGAUGGUAUUCGUGAUGUUUCUUGGACGUGGGAUAUUGUGUUGUAUCGGUUUGAUAUAUAUAGAUUAAUGAGUUUUUGAUUGAUCGUCAGGGAGAAGCUAAUGAUGGCUAAAGAAUACCUGUGCAAAGGCUAAGAAACUUACUGUUGUUUACUUUUAUCUAGUUUACUUUUAUCAUAUGUGCUACAUUGAUCUUCUGUUUGUCAUGUGUUGUAAUCUUGUUUCACCUCAUCAAUUAGUGUUGUUGUAAUUUGAAUCAUUUGUCCUACUUAAUGCUUUAACAACAAAACUUCUUGUAUUUCUAACAAGGCAUGCAAUUAUCAAGUAUUUACCCCCUGAGUUUUCCUAUUGUGCGUGCAGUUAGUGAAUCAAAACCUUCAUACCCAUCCUCCAAAUCAGAGUCGGACUUGUUGCUUGGGACAAGUUAAGAGGCAGAAAUAAUAUUUUCUAACUCUGAUCCAUGUCUUUUUGCUUUCUUUUGUGAUGUAAAUUACCUGUUGACACAUUGUUCCCUAUACUGUGUUAGUUUCUACACAUUUCUUUCAUGUCGUUGCUGAUAUGCUUGUUGGUUUGAAGGUCAAUGACUCGGUUGUGAUAUAGGUAGAGAAAGGAAGACAUAAUAUUGAUGAUGAUGCCAAGCCGACAUGUCUUGUUCAAGUCUGUGUAGCAUCUAUAUGCUUGACUAUGUUUUGUGAUAUAGUAUAACUAAUGUGCAUUACCUUGUCCUGAAUUUUCGUGCAUUACUACAUUAAAUUGAGCCGAUUUUGCUGAAUUUUCUUUUGGUCAAGUGGAAAUAUGAAGUACAGAAACUUGGUUUUUGGUUAGACCUCAUAUUACCUUGUAGUACGCCUUGAGAUGCUUCUCUUUUAGCUUAUGCACCCUUAACACUGUACAUCUACAUGUCUUGCAUAUAUAAAAUAAAAGAUUCGACUAUGUUCAUUUGGAAUUGAAGAUUUUCCAAUUUUAAGACUGAAUUAAUCUUUUUAUCUUUUUGGUUUUAAUUUAAGCUUCAUUUCCGAGAUCUCCCAACGGUGAAGGAGGAUCUUAUGACGUCAAUGGAAAAGAGUUACGCCCAUCCUUGGGUUGGACCUCAGAGAUGGGUUGGACUGCACCCAUAUCCAAGGGGAUUCAUGCCUUGAGGGCUCAACUGGAAGCAGCAAAAUAUGAUGUGAUUAAGUAUUGCACUGGACUGAAUACGAUGAUAGAUGUGUGAAUAUUUUCUCAGCUGAAGGGAGACUGUUUCAAGUUUAAGCUAUUAAGGUAGAGCGCUGGGGAAGGCCUGUGUAUGCAAAUAUUCAGUAGUUCAUUCAGUUCCAGCCCACAGUUGAUGUUGCUGCUCUUCCCGAUGAUCUUUAUGGAUGCCGUCACUCUAUUACCGAUGGUCUCAUGAUCGACGAGCACUGAUGUCAUGAUUGUAGGUAAGAUCGCUGUUGUUGCUGGAUACAGAGAUGUUGGAAAGGGUUGUGCUUCUGCAGUUCUGCUCUCAAGCUGGUGCCCAGGUGAUGAUCACUAAAAUUGAUGUUGAAAUUUUUAGGACUUGCAACACUUCUUUGUAAGAAAGCUUGAACUUAUAAAUUAAGAGUUGAAUCCUUUUGUAUGAUUUUGAAUUAAAUUUAUGAGUACAAUUUAAUGUAAUGGAAUUGUCAUCUUGUAUGGAUGAAUAAGGUUAUAGAUUUGUCAUUUUAAUUUUA